Molecule: long non-coding RNA, 1836 nt
Filed under: Homo sapiens (human)
Lineage: Eukaryota; Metazoa; Chordata; Mammalia; Primates; Hominidae
Description: uncharacterized LOC102724542, transcript variant 5 (LOC102724542)
Source: RNAcentral
GCAGCUGCCGGACACCAGGAGACGAUGGAAGGUCUAUAGUGUUACAGCUCUGACCCAGGAAGUCCCAGGGUCUUGCCUUCCAGAAGGGUCGCGGCUCUUCCCUCCCUCAGUCCAACGAACAGGAGCACGUCACCUCCCGCAGCUCGGGGAGCUGGCCAGGAACGUGUUACAGCCCGUUUCGCUCCUGUCCGCAGCUGGGUGAGGCAGCCAGGAAAAUAUUACAGCUCUUCUCACGCCCGCCAUUCAGCAGGUCCUGACUUCUUGUGUGACAUCCAGAAGAAAGGGGUUACACAGACAGCUGGAGGGUGAGCAAAGUGGAGAAGUUCUCAGCAGAGAGGAGACUGGAGUGAGUUGCCCCUACCCGCAGGUGCCAACUGUAAUACAUCAGUAGCUGAACAGCUCAUUGCCCUCAAGUGUUCUUGCUCAUGCCUGGCUGAGUUAUUGAAGAAAUUGCUCAGAUCUCAAGCCCUUGUAGAUCACUGGUCCUGGCAGAUGUUAUUCCAAACCAUAUUUGAGCAGGGAGAAAAAUCAGUGCACUUGAAGAUAAGACAAUGGAAAUUGAGUCUUGGAAGAAGAGGGAACAGAUUCUGUGGGACACAGCAAACAGACCACCAUGUGCAUUGUGGGAAUCCCCGAAGAAGAAGAAAAAGAAAAUGGAAUAAAAUACUCAAAGAAAUAGUGGCUAAAAACCUCUUAAAUGAAAAAGAUACAAGUACGAACAUUAAAAAAAUUCAAAACACAUCAAAAUGAAAUCAAAGAGACCCACACUAAGACACUUUAUAAUCAAUCUUUUGAAAGAUAAAGACAAAAAGAAGAUCUUAAAAGCAGCAAGAUAACUGACUUACAUACAAGAGAUCAGCAAUACCAUUAUCAGAUUUCUCAUGAGACAUUUUGAAGGCCAGAAGGCAUUGGACCUUGAAAAUCUCCCAAGUGCUGAAAGAAAAAGCAAAAACAAAACAAAAAAACCCACAAAAACAAAACAAAACAAAAUAGCCACAAAAAAUGCUGUCAACCAAGAAUCCUAUAGAAAAUCUGUCCUUCAAAUGUAAGAAAUUAAAACAUUUUUAGAUGAACAAAGCUUUGGGAAUUUAUUACCACUAGACCUACUCUACAGAAAAGUUUCAAGGGACUUCUACAAAAUGAAAUAACACUAGACAGUAAUUUGAAGCCAUAUAAAGAAAUAAAGAUGUCAACAAAGAAACCAGCAAAGAGUACAUAGAACAAACAUUUUUUUUAGAAGGAUUAAAUGGGACAAUUAAACAAUUUGAUCAGCAUAAUGUCCAGCUCAAGGAUCUUGGAGGUGGUGAGGCAGCCCAAGUGGAAAGGCAGCAGAAGGGGUAUCCUUGUUUUACCAAUUACUCAUAUGUAGGAGAUGGUGCAUUAAAUGAAAUAUUCUCUGCUCUCUCCUAACAUCUACCCCCUCACACCAAGAGGAAGGCAUGUCGCCUGAACCUUUGCAGUAUUCAAUUAAAGUUCUAUUCACACGGUAUUGCAGUUGUUUGCUUAUCUUUCUUUCUUAUUAGACUUAAAACUUCUGGAAACUAGAGGCUAUAUUACUUAUUUGCCUCAGAGUCCUGUUGGCCUAUCAAAUGGCACACCUUCAAUCCAAGAAUGAAUUAAUUAAAUAAAUGUGAAGAAAAAAAAAAUCCAAGUUGCUUAUUUUUGUUAAAUUUAUUUUUCCCCAAAAUAUUUACUGAGAAAAUGACUCUGGGAAGAUAGCAGAGUGGAAAGCCCCAGAAAUGUGUUUCCCCACCUAGACAACAACUGUACUGGCAGAAUCUGUUUGAUGUGACUAUUCUGAAGUUCUGAAUUGAAUAAAUAUGAAGAAAAUACAAA